This is a non-coding RNA of Colletotrichum liriopes, 72 nucleotides long. Lineage: Eukaryota; Fungi; Ascomycota; Sordariomycetes; Glomerellales; Glomerellaceae. The record is from the annotation of a GenBank genome assembly.
UCCCAUAUAGUCCAGUGGUUAGGAUACUCCGCUUUCACCGGAGAGACCCGAGUUCGAACCUCGGUGUGGGAA